Molecule: ribosomal RNA, 497 nt
Filed under: uncultured bacterium
Lineage: Bacteria
Description: partial 16S ribosomal RNA
Rfam family: Bacterial small subunit ribosomal RNA
Source: RNAcentral
GAUGAACGCUGGCGGCGUGCCUAAUACAUGCAAGUCGAGCGAACAGACGAGGAGCUUGCUCCUCUGACGUUAGCGGCGGACGGGUGAGUAACACGUGGAUAACCUACCUAUAAGACUGGGAUAACUUCGGGAAACCGGAGCUAAUACCGGAUAAUAUAUUGAACCGCAUGGUUCAAUAGUGAAAGACGGUUUUGCUGUCACUUAUAGAUGGAUCCGCGCCGCAUUAGCUAGUUGGUAAGGUAACGGCUUACCAAGGCAACGAUGCGUAGCCGACCUGAGAGGAUGAUCGGCCACACUAGAACUGAGACACGGUCCAGACUCCUACGGGAGGCAGCAGUAGGGAAUCUUCCGCAAUGGGCGAAAGCCUGACGGAGCAACGCCGCGUGAGUGAUGAAGGUCUUCGGAUCGUAAAACUCUGUUAUUAGGGAAGAACAAAUGUGUAAGUAACUAUGCACGUCUUGACGGUACCUAAUCAGAAAGCCACGGCUAACUACGUG